GGCUUAGAUGUGUGAGAGUAAGAGACCCUGAAAUUAUCUCACAGAGAUCCGAUGGUGUCUUUCGCAGGAAAAUCACAACUCGUAUUGAUAGACGCAUCGUCUCUUCUGCUACAGAGAAAGAAACGUCUCAUCCUCAAUCCAAUCGCCUUACCAGGAAUUCUGAGGCAGCAACACUCCGGUCUGGUACGACUGAGAACCGGAAAUCGGCGUCACCGGAGAAAGAAGACAGGUAUUACACGACAAGAGGGUCAAUGAGUGUGGACGAGAAUGGGAAGAUUUCAAUUGAUGGUAACAAUGGAGAGGAUAAAGGACACGUUUGGCCAAAGCUAUAUAUCACA
Molecule: unclassified non-coding RNA, 338 nt
Filed under: Hevea brasiliensis (rubber tree)
Lineage: Eukaryota; Viridiplantae; Streptophyta; Magnoliopsida; Malpighiales; Euphorbiaceae
Source: RNAcentral